This 253-nucleotide ribosomal RNA is filed under the name uncultured bacterium. Its description in RNAcentral is "partial 16S ribosomal RNA". It matches the Rfam family "Bacterial small subunit ribosomal RNA", at positions 524 to 776 of the family's 1533-position model. The record is from RNAcentral.
UACGGAGGGUGCGAGCGUUGCUCGGAAUCACUGGGCGUAAAGGGCGUGUAGGCGGGAAGGUAAGUCAGAUGUGAAAUCCCUGGGCUCAACCCAGGAACUGCAUUUGAAACUCCCUUUCUUGAGUGUCGGAGAGGAAAGUGGAAUUCCUGGUGUAGAGGUGAAAUUCGUAGAUAUCAGGAGGAACACCGGUGGCGAAGGCGGCUUUCUGGACGACAACUGACGCUGAGACGCGAAAGCGUGGGGAGCAAACAGG